AUGGCGUCCGGCGAGGCCUCGGCAUCGGCAUCCGCGUCGGCGGAUCGAAUCCGCGUGGUCGGCGCGUGGGCCGGCGCCCUGGAGGUGGAGCUGGGCGCCUGGACGGUGCCGAUGCUGCGGGCGGAGGUGGCGCGGCGGGCCGGGGACGUGGAGCCCGACCGCGUCGGCCUCAUCUUCGGCGGCCGCGUGCUCAAGGACGAUCCCGCCGGCGUCUCGCUGCAGCAGGCCGGCCUAAAGAGCAACGCCAAGGUGCUCUCCACCCUCGCCUCCCCCGAUCGCGGCAAGGCCCUCGCCGCCGAGGCCGCCGCCGCCGCGGCCGAGGAGGAGCACUCCAACAAGCUCGUCAGGCUCUGUAAUAGAAUACCACAAUGUUUUUGUAGGGAUGCUGCACAAGCAUUAUCUCAAAGGCAUUCAGAUGGCUCUCUCCUUGAUGAAAACUUCAACAUAGCUCUCGAGGACCAGAGCGGACAAAAAGUGAUGUUUGGAUCUGCAGAUGAUAUGAAGGCUUUGAAGAUGGCUCUAAUGCUUCAUCAAAAGGCAAAAGUUCUUAUCAAGAAGAACAUGUAUAAGGAGGCACUGGAUGUUUUGAUGAUGUCCGAGGAAGCCUUCUCUCUUUGUGACAAUAAACUCAUUGAGAGAGUUGAUAAUGUGCCAAUGCUUCAACUGGAUAUAGUCUGGUGUUAUUUUAUGCUUCGUGAUGUAUCACGCUUAGAAGUUGCAGGGGCUCGCCUAAACAAGGCUAGGUUAGGAUUUGAACUUUCCCACGGUAAAGACUCCACGCGCUUCAGAUUACUUCAGGCUGCCCGUCAUGCAGAUCUGGCUCUCUAUGUAAGGCUGGAGCUUUUGGAAGGAGUGGUAGCAUAUUAUAAUGGUAAUACUGAAAAGGCACGUGGCUCUCUCAGUUCUGCACAAUCUAAAUACAUGCAGCUGCAAGUACCAGAUGAAGCUAUAGCAAUGUUAACGGAUAUGGGCUAUGACGCACGAGCAUCAAAAAGAGCACUAAAGAUGACUGGCUAUGAUAUUCAAUCUUCUGUUGAUCUCUUAUGUGAGGAGCGUGAAAAGAAAAUUCGUAGAAGGGAGCAGGACAUUGAGACACAAAGAGAGAUAAUGGAACAAAGGAGAUAUGGUAAAACUCCCAUGAACAAGGCAGUUGAUAUGCAGAAGUUGAAAGGCUUGACUACUAUCGGGUUUGAGAAGUACCUUGCUGCAGAAGCACUCCGCAUAAAUGAAAAUGAUGCUGAGAAAGCGUUAGAUCUUUUGACAAAUCCUGAACUGAACUGUGCCCUACAAAGUAAAAUUCAGUCAAGGAGGAAACGACCACUUCAUGUCUUGGGUGCAGGACCAUUGGGAGCCGGGGCUGCUGCUCCUGUGGCUGCCGCAGCGGCGGGUAACGCCCCACCACAGAUCCCAGAUCUAAACGCUGCCGAGGGCGACAAUCAGGAGCAGCUUGUGAACAACGAAGAAGAAGCUGCGAACAACGAGGCAGAAGCUUUGCCCAACGACACAGAAGCCAUGGCCAAUGAAGAAGCCGUGAACCAAGACCAAGACAUGGGUGACGAAGAGGAGGAGGAAUUGAUCGAGGAAGAAGCGGGCGCGAGUCACGCGCAAGGUCCGGUCAGGGACGUGGCGAUGGAGAACGAGCUCGCCAACGAGCUGACGGGCGACGCCCUGGACGACUACGACAUCGACGUCGCCAACGAAGGGCAUGCCAUCGCGGAGUACCUGAGCCUUCUGGAGUCCGCCGCUGCUGCUGCGGCUGCGGCUGCUAGCUCUUGA
This 1776-nucleotide ribosomal RNA is filed under the name Triticum aestivum (bread wheat). Its description in RNAcentral is "partial small subunit ribosomal RNA". Lineage: Eukaryota; Viridiplantae; Streptophyta; Magnoliopsida; Poales; Poaceae. The record is from RNAcentral.